RNAcentral lists this ribosomal RNA (240 nucleotides) under uncultured bacterium. RNAcentral's name for it is "partial 16S ribosomal RNA". It matches the Rfam family "Bacterial small subunit ribosomal RNA", at positions 118 to 351 of the family's 1533-position model. The record is from RNAcentral.
UGAGGAACAUGACCUUCGGCGGGGGAGUAGCCGGCCCAACGGCCGGGUAAUACCGCGUACGACCACAUGGGGACAUCCCUGAGUGGUGAAAGCAGCAAUGCGCCGAUGGAGUGCCUCGCGGCCUAUCAGCUUGUUGGUGAGGUAAUGGCUCACCAAGGCGACGACGGGUGGCCGGCCUGAGAGGGUGACCCGGCCACACGUGGGACUGAGACACGGCCCAGACCUCCGUACGGGGAGCAG